Tachysurus fulvidraco (yellow catfish) is the source of this 105-nucleotide small nuclear RNA. Lineage: Eukaryota; Metazoa; Chordata; Actinopteri; Siluriformes; Bagridae. The record is from RefSeq and is a predicted model, not a curated record.
CAACUUUCUUGGAAUUGGGUUUGUAAAAUUGGAACGAUACAGAGAAGAUUAACAUGGCCCCGGCGCAAGGAUGAUAUUUUUCGGGGAUAUGGCAGCCUACUGGUU